RNAcentral lists this long non-coding RNA (501 nucleotides) under Brassica napus (rape). RNAcentral's name for it is "long non-coding RNA (BNAP_LNC015163)". Lineage: Eukaryota; Viridiplantae; Streptophyta; Magnoliopsida; Brassicales; Brassicaceae. The record is from RNAcentral.
CCAUCCAGGCUACGUGCCUCCAUCAGAGCUACGUGCUCCUUAGGCCAUGUGCCCAUUAGGCUACGCGCCCACUUAGGCUCCGCGCCUCCACCAAUACAUGAACUACGAACGGCUUGAUCCCCCCUUGAAGGGUACGUAGGCAAUCCCCCCUGAAGGAUACAGCUAUAAAUCCCAAACAUCUUCCUCGGUUCGUCAAGGACAAACCUUGGUAACCGGAACCCUCAACUACAGAUCAGGAGGAACCCAGGGACCGAACCUGGAAUCGGGCCCAUCAAUUGUAGGCCCAGAAGACCCUGCGGCCUUCACCAUAGACAAGCAGUCCCUGUAUAAUGACCAAUCUCCUCCGCUAUUACUAACGCACCGACGACGUAUACUGGCCCAUAUCUAGAUGGCAGUCUCCUAAGAGCAAGACCCCCCUGGUUCAUCAACUAUCAAGGCGGGAGAAUACACUAUGACGAGAUGUCUCCUUCUCCCUAUCAUUCCGUAGAACUGAGCACGGAU